AUACGGAGGGUGCGAACGUUAAUCGGAAUUACUGGGCGUAAAGCGCGCGUAGGCGGUUUGUUAAGUGGGAUGUGAAAUCCCCGGGCUCAACCUGGGAAUUGCGUUCCAAACUGGCGAACUAGAGUAUGGUAGAGGAAGGUAGAAUUCCCUGUGUAGCGGUGAAAUGCGUAGAUAUAGGGAGGAAUACCAGUGGCGAAGGCGGCCUUCUGGACCAAUACUGACGCUGAGGUGCGAAAGCGUGGGGAGCGAACAGGAUUAGAAACCCGAGUAGUCC
This 274-nucleotide ribosomal RNA is filed under the name uncultured bacterium. RNAcentral's name for it is "partial 16S ribosomal RNA". It matches the Rfam family "Bacterial small subunit ribosomal RNA", at positions 523 to 796 of the family's 1533-position model. The record is from RNAcentral.